GAUCAGGUGGCGGAAUGGUAGACGCAAAACCGAGAGCUAACGCAGGACAGCGUAAAUAGUCGGUGCUGGAAGGUGCUAAGAACAUCCAGAGUCCAUGCAGGUUCGAUCCCUGCCCUGAUCA
Molecule: transfer RNA, 121 nt
Filed under: Chitinophaga nivalis
Lineage: Bacteria; Pseudomonadati; Bacteroidota; Chitinophagia; Chitinophagales; Chitinophagaceae
Description: tRNA-OTHER
Rfam family: tRNA
About the family: Transfer RNA (tRNA) molecules are approximately 80 nucleotides in length.
Source: RNAcentral